RNAcentral lists this long non-coding RNA (549 nucleotides) under Aotus nancymaae (Ma's night monkey). Its description in RNAcentral is "lncRNA (ENSANAG00000038892.1)". The record is from RNAcentral. Lineage: Eukaryota; Metazoa; Chordata; Mammalia; Primates; Aotidae.
CUUCGAUGAGCAGUGCGGUUGUUCACCUGCAAAGAUGAAAGCCAAUGAGAGGUUCAAGUUCCUUGACCCCGAAUAUCCAGUGAGUGGAGACUGUGUCCUGUUCAUAAAGUCUGUCAUCUCUAAUUCGGCAAAGACAGUGAUGACUGUAUAUAUGCAUACCAAUUCUGUGAGUGGCAUCUGCAGCAAAGGAUUGCCUGAUAGAAUCCAGGGAACGGCUGGACUCCAUGGCUCACGUCAGUAAUCCCAGCACUCAGCACUUUGGGAGGCCAAGAUGGGUGAGUCAUUUGAGGCCAGGAGUUCAAGACCAGCCUGGUCAACAUGGUGAAGCCCCAUCUCUAUUAAAAAUACAAAAAUUAGCUGGGUCUAGUGGCAUGUGCCUGUAAUCCCAGCUGCUCAGGAGGCUGAGGCAGUAGAAUGAAUUGAACCUGGGAAACGGAGGUUGCAGUGAGCAGAGAUCACAUCACUGUACUCCAGCCUGGGUGACAGAGCAAGACUCUGUCCCCACAAAAAAAAAAGAAGCCAUGGAAAACUAGAAACAAGUAUCUCCAG